CAAUUAUUUUAAUAUAUUAUAAUUAUGUGGCGGAGCCUGCUUGGGUGCAGGGUGCCUUGCAAAUAACCUAUGUUGUUGUCGGACCAGGGAUUAGCCACCACUUGGUUUCUUGUCGAUGGGACCAUUGUUCCAUUAUACGGGUCCAGGGCCUAAUAUUUGGGCCAAUGAAGGGCCCAUUACUUCCAUUUCACAUUUUCAAGUUCAUUCAAGAGCCUCUGUGGCCGACUGCCCAGUCCAAAUGCAGAAUCGGCAGUUGAAUGUAGCAGCAGGGAAUACCUCUGGGUUUUGGGCCUGUGACCUCAGGCACUUGUAUCGUGGCAACAACAAUCAGAUGCCAUUGCACAGCUAAAUACACAUUCUAUGGCCAAUUAAGCGGUUCUGUCAAAUUACGACUAUGGGAUCAAUCAAUGACAGAGCUUGCAUCACAGGUUCGGGUGAUGGUAGAUGCUCGUGUCAAGAGAGAAAGAGUCAAGGGGGCAGCACAUGCCAUGCAAAUCAAGUUCUAAAACCUGAAAAUUUAAACUGCUGAAUUUAGAUAUGUUCUCGAGAGUGGAUGUAUGGUUGUUUUAAGAAACCAGUCUGCUCGAACUGCACAGAGCAUGGUUCAAAUGUCCUUUAUGCAUAGCGCUAAUGUUUUCUUUUCUGGGUUUUUUUUUUUACUAUGGUAUUGUGUUUUGUUUUUCUGAAACACACUCUGAAUGGUGGUGGUGCUAUGGACAUCAGUAUCUAUAAUUAAUGAAUCAUAGAUAUCAACAGAGCGUUGGUUGCAA
Populus euphratica (Euphrates poplar) is the source of this 770-nucleotide long non-coding RNA. RefSeq lists it as uncharacterized. The record is from RefSeq and is a predicted model, not a curated record. Lineage: Eukaryota; Viridiplantae; Streptophyta; Magnoliopsida; Malpighiales; Salicaceae. The transcript is spliced from 3 exons.